GUGGGGAAUAUUGCGCAAUGGGGGCAACCCUGACGCAGCAACGCCGCGUGAAGGAAGAAGGCCUUCGGGUUGUAAACUUCUUUGAUCGGGGACGAAACUGACGGUACCCGAGGAACAAGCCACGGCUAACUACGUGCCAGCAGCCGCGGUAAUACGUAGGUGGCAAGCGUUGUCCGGAAUUACUGGGCGUAAAGGGCGUGUAGGCGGGGCGGCAAGUCAGGUGUGAAAUCCCGGGGCUUAACUCCGGAGCUGCAUCUGAAACUGCUGUUCUUGAGUGCUGGAGAGGAAAGUGGAAUUCCCAGUGUAGCGGUGAAAUGCGUAGAGAUUGGGAGGAACACCAGUGGCGAAGGCGGCUUUCUGGACAGUAACUGACGCUGAGGCGCGAAAGCGUGGGGAGCAAACAGGAUUAGAAACCCUAGUAGUCC
RNAcentral lists this ribosomal RNA (425 nucleotides) under uncultured bacterium. RNAcentral describes it as "bacterial SSU rRNA". It matches the Rfam family "Bacterial small subunit ribosomal RNA", at positions 354 to 796 of the family's 1533-position model. The record is from RNAcentral.